GAUGAACGCUGGCGGCGUGCCUAACACAUGCAAGUCGAACGGAGUCCAGCCUUUAAGACCUUCGGGUCAAAGAGGGGAAGACUGAGUGGCGGACGGGUGAGUAACACGUGGGCAACCUGGCUCAUAGAGGGGGAUAACAGAGAGAAAUUUCUGCUAAUACCGCAUAAGCACACACUGCCGCAUGGCAGAGGGUGAAAAGAGAAUCGCUAUGAGAUGGACCCGCGUCUGAUUAGCCAGUUGGCAGGGUAAGAGCCCACCAAAGCGACGAUCAGUAGCCGAUCUGAGAGGAUGAACGGCCACAUUGGGACUGAGACACGGCCCAAACUCCUACGGGAGGCAGCAGUGGGGGAUAUCGCACAAUGGGGGGAACCCUGAUGCAGCGACGCCGCGUGAGUGAAGAAGUAUUUCGGUAUGUAAAGCUCUAUCAGCAGGGAAGAUAAUGACAGUACCUGAAUAAGAAGCCCCGGCUAACUACGUG
RNAcentral lists this ribosomal RNA (478 nucleotides) under uncultured bacterium. RNAcentral's name for it is "partial 16S ribosomal RNA". It matches the Rfam family "Bacterial small subunit ribosomal RNA", at positions 28 to 507 of the family's 1533-position model. The record is from RNAcentral.